CAGUCGCCACGGUAAUACGAAGGGUGCAAGCGUUACUCGGAAUUACUGGGCGUAAAGCGUGCGUAGGUGGUGGUUUAAGUCCGUUGUGAAAGCCCUGGGCUCAACCUGGGAAUUGCAGUGGAUACUGGAUCACUAGAGUGUGGUAGAGGAUAGUGGAAUUUCCGGUGUAGCAGUGAAAUGCGUAGAGAUCGGAAGGAACAUCUGUGGCGAAGGCGACUAUCUGGGCCAACACUGACACUGAGGCACGAAAGCGUGGGGAGCAAACAGGAUUAGAUACCCGUGUAGUCCCUGUCUCUUAUAC
This 301-nucleotide ribosomal RNA is filed under the name uncultured bacterium. RNAcentral describes it as "partial 16S ribosomal RNA". It matches the Rfam family "Bacterial small subunit ribosomal RNA", at positions 509 to 807 of the family's 1533-position model. The record is from RNAcentral.